CCUAUUCCCUUGGCUCCAGCAGGGGAAAAGGAAAACAUCUGUGGUGCCAUAUUCACGGAUGGACUUAUUGGAAUUAGGGAAUACAGCUUUCCCAGGAUGACCACCUGCCGCAGCCCAUGCUCCCAGUCACACAACUGGGGAACAGCCAUUCCUCUGCCACCCUGACCCAGUCGUCACUGCAGAUGCAGGUGAACUUUGUACUAGGAAGAGGGAAAAAGCUGCCAGGCCACUCAGCAGUGCAAUCUGAGCUUGUCGCUGGUGAAGCCUGAACCAACAUUAUGUUUGCCAGCUCUACGCCCAGAUCUUCAGAGGUUACCAUGCCUACCUUGAAUGCUGUUUCACUGAAUCUCUGUUCUAUCUGCUGCAAGGAAAACAUUUAUCUAGAUAAGUUACUAGAAAGCAAGCAAGCAACAGGAAUGAAUUCUUCCAGUUGUACCAAAAGCCCUUCCGGAAUAAAGAGCCCCAGAUAA
RNAcentral lists this long non-coding RNA (470 nucleotides) under Apteryx rowi (Okarito brown kiwi). RNAcentral's name for it is "lncRNA (ENSARWG00000011536.1)". The record is from RNAcentral. Lineage: Eukaryota; Metazoa; Chordata; Aves; Apterygiformes; Apterygidae.